Molecule: ribosomal RNA, 253 nt
Filed under: uncultured bacterium
Lineage: Bacteria
Description: partial 16S ribosomal RNA
Rfam family: Bacterial small subunit ribosomal RNA
Source: RNAcentral
GACGAACCGUGCGAACGUUGUUCGGAAUCACUGGGCAUAAAGGGCGCGUAGGCGGCUUUUCAAGUCAGGGGUGAAAUCCGGCAGCUCAACUGUCGAACUGCCUUUGAUACUGAAGAUCUUGAGUUCGGGAGAGGUGAGUGGAACUGCGAGUGUAGAGGUGAAAUUCGUAGAUAUUCGGAAGAACACCAGUGGCGAAGGCGACACACUGGCUCACUACUGACGCUGAGGCGCGAAAGCGUGGGGAGCAAACAGG